GUGCUCUCUAUCGCUGUCAUA
Molecule: microRNA, 21 nt
Filed under: Eugenia uniflora (Surinam cherry)
Lineage: Eukaryota; Viridiplantae; Streptophyta; Magnoliopsida; Myrtales; Myrtaceae
Description: eun-miR535a-3p
Gene: eun-miR535a-3p
Source: miRBase by way of RNAcentral